Molecule: long non-coding RNA, 182 nt
Organism: Zonotrichia leucophrys gambelii
Lineage: Eukaryota; Metazoa; Chordata; Aves; Passeriformes; Passerellidae
Exons: 3
Source: RefSeq, a predicted model, not a curated record
UUGAGAAAAAAUUAUACAUUUAAAAUGCAUAUAAAAUUUAAUUUCACCUUUUCUCUCUCACAGCAACAGUCUCUCCUGCUGAACCUGCAGAUGUAAACACACCAACAGUCUCUCCUGCUGAACCUGCAGAUGCAAACACACCAACAGCCCCUCCUAAUGCUGAACCUGCAGAUGUAAACACA